AUCGGAACGUACCCAAGAGUGGGGGAUAACGUAGCGAAAGUUACGCUAAUACCGCAUACGAUCUAUGGAUGAAAGCAGGGGACCGCAAGGCCUUGUGCUCCUGGAGCGGCCGAUAUCUGAUUAGCUAGUUGGUGAGGUAAAGGCUCACCAAGGCCACGAUCAGUAGCUGGUCUGAGAGGACGACCAGCCACACUGGAACUGAGACACGGUCCAGACUCCUACGGGAGGCAGCAGUGGGGAAUUUUGGACAAUGGGCGCAAGCCUGAUCCAGCAAUGCCGCGUGAGUGAAGAAGGCCUUCGGGUUGUAAAGCUCUUUUGUCAGGGAAGAAACGGUAGAGGCUAAUAUCCUUUGCUAAUGACGGUACCUGAAGAAUAAGCACCGGCUAACUACGUGCCAGCAGCCGCGGUAAUACGUAGGGUGCAAGCGUUAAUCGGAAUUACUGGGCGUAAAGCGUGCGCAGGCGGUUUUGUAAGUCUGUCGUGAAAGCCCCGGGCUCAACCUGGGAAUUGCGAUGGAGACUGCAAGGCUUGAAUCUGGCAGAGGGGGGUAGAAUUCCACGUGUAGCGGUAAAAUGCG
RNAcentral lists this ribosomal RNA (577 nucleotides) under Massilia sp. RNAcentral's name for it is "bacterial SSU rRNA". It matches the Rfam family "Bacterial small subunit ribosomal RNA", at positions 117 to 690 of the family's 1533-position model. The record is from RNAcentral. Lineage: Bacteria; Pseudomonadati; Pseudomonadota; Betaproteobacteria; Burkholderiales; Oxalobacteraceae.